This 468-nucleotide ribosomal RNA is filed under the name uncultured bacterium. RNAcentral describes it as "partial 16S ribosomal RNA". It matches the Rfam family "Bacterial small subunit ribosomal RNA", at positions 28 to 507 of the family's 1533-position model. The record is from RNAcentral.
GACGAACGCUGGCGGCGUGCUUAACACAUGCAAGUCGAACGGAAAGGCCCUGCUUUUGUGGGGUGCUCGAGUGGCGAACGGGUGAGUAACACGUGAGUAACCUGCCCUUGACUUUGGGAUAACUUCAGGAAACUGGGGCUAAUACCGGAUAGGAGCUCCUGCUGCAUGGUGGGGGUUGGAAAGUUUCGGCGGUUGGGGAUGGACUCGCGGCUUAUCAGCUUGUUGGUGGGGUAGUGGCUUACCAAGGCUUUGACGGGUAGCCGGCCUGAGAGGGUGACCGGCCACAUUGGGGCUGAGAUACGGGCCAGACUCCUACGGGGGGCAGCAGGGGGGAAUAAUGCAAAAUGGGCGGAAGCCUGAUGCAGCAACGCCGCGUGCGGGAUGACGGCCUUCGGGUUGUAAACCGCUUUCGCCUGUGACGAAGCGUGAGUGACGGUAAUGGGUAAAGAAGCACCGGCUAACUACGUG